GGUCGCUUAGCUCAGUUGGUUAGAGCGUGGUGCUAAUACGGGUUCUCCCUAAGUUACGCCAAGGUCGCGAGUUCGACCCUCGUAGUGACCA
This is a transfer RNA of 91 nucleotides. It matches the Rfam family "tRNA". Rfam says of the family: Transfer RNA (tRNA) molecules are approximately 80 nucleotides in length. Their secondary structure includes four short double-helical elements and three loops (D, anti-codon, and T loops). The record is from Rfam.